AGGAACAUGUGGUUUAAUUCGAUGAUACGCGAGGAACCUUACCUGGGCUUAAAGUGGGGAGUGACAGCUGUCGAAAGAUGGUUUUCUUCGGACACUCUUCAAGGUGCUGCAUGGUUGUCGUCAGCUCGUGCCGUGAGGUGUCGGGUUAAGUCCCAUAACGAGCGCAACCCUUACCGUUAGUUACCAUCAGGUUAAGCUGGGGACUCUAGCGGGACUGCCACCGUAAGGUGAGAGGAAGGUGGGGAUGACGUCAAAUCAGCACGGCCCUUAUGUCCAGGGCUACACACGUGUUACAAUGGCCGGUACAAAGGGCAGCUACUUCGCGAGAAGAUGCUAAUCUCGAAAGCCGGUCUCAGUUCGGAUCGAAGUCUGCAACCCGACUUCGUGAAGCUGGAUUCGCUAGUAAUCGCGCAUCAGCCAUGGCGCGGUGAAUACGUUCCCGGGCCUU
This 448-nucleotide ribosomal RNA is filed under the name uncultured Sphingobacteriales bacterium. RNAcentral's name for it is "bacterial SSU rRNA". It matches the Rfam family "Bacterial small subunit ribosomal RNA", at positions 933 to 1382 of the family's 1533-position model. Lineage: Bacteria; Pseudomonadati; Bacteroidota; Sphingobacteriia; Sphingobacteriales. The record is from RNAcentral.